GAGUCAGGCUCUCCCAAGCCAUAUGCUUCAUCUCAGAGCCAAGGCUGUGUCAUCACUGCCAAAUGCUCCUUCAGGCCACUAAAUCACCACAGUAAGAUCAGAGCUUCAGGACCUAAGUAGUGCCUGGGGAUCUGAAAGAGACGACUGACUGAGGUGGUUGAUGGGAUUCUUACAGUGGAGUGUGGCACCUGAACUGUAGGUGUACCAGAUACUCCAGAUGGCGAAAAGGUACAGCUGAUGUGGGAGGUGUUUUUGAGCCAGCCCCUCUUCAGCCACAUAGACUAGCAACAAAGCACCAUCUUGGAAGCAGAGAGCCGCCCUCACCAGAACUGAAUGCAGGCACCAUGACCUUGAACUUCCCAGCCUCCGGACCUUAGUCCCUAGGGGGACUCUUGCUGAGGACACUUAGUGAUGAGACAUUGCUUGUUCAGGCUCAUACUCCCUUCUGGGAGAAACGCUAUACCAGGCUUCCAACUCCAUCUCAUCUCACACACGGAGGCUUCACCAUCCUGGCAACUUUACUGUGCUACCUUUGACCACAAAACAGAGGAACAGUGACAACGUGAGAUUCAAGACUCUGUGAGCUGGACAGCAGAUGGAGGCACACUGGGACGUAAUCCUGGCAGUUAAGAGACGUGUGAAUGGGCUGAUGGGGAAUGAUCUUUUUGUGAAGUUGUUGUUGGCAACACCUUGUGGCAGAAGAAACAGCUAAGUGAUGGUCCCCACAGCUGCCAUUCUCCAGUCUUGAAGUUGGUGGAUGACCUCCCUGUGACCGACCCCCUGUGGGCUAACAAUGUGGAAAACAGUAAUGGUCAAGAAACCCUCCCUGUCCUUUUGUGUUCCAGGCAGAGAGCCACCCAUCCCCAUGUGACUAAGAGAAGACUCAUGGAUGAGCUCCUUAAGAACCUAUGACAAAGCCAGACACAACCCCUCCUAGGGUCUGAAUGUUUGUGUCCUUCCAAAUUCGUAUGUUGAAAUCCUAAGCCCCGAGGUGAUGGUAUCAGGAAGUGGGUCCUUUGGGAGGUGGUUAGGUCAUAAGACUGGAGCUCUUAUGUAUGGAAUUAGAGAUCUGACAUUUUUAAAAGGCCCCCGAGAGUGGCUUUGCUCCUUAAGCCAUGUGAGGAUACAGCAAGAAGGUGCUGUCCAUGAGAAAGCUGGCCCUCACCAGACACCAAUCCUACAGAUGCCUUGAUCUUGGACUUCACAGCCUCCAGCACUAUGAGCAAUAAGUUUUUGUUGUUCUAAGCCACCUAGUCUAUGAUAUUAUCUUAUGGCAGCUUGAACAGACUAAGCCAACCCUCCAAAUUUUCAUUCUUUGGUUCUCACUGACUAAUCUGAACAAAUUGCUCAUCAACAUAACUUGUUAAAACUUAAUGAGGCUUCUCUCCUUCCCCCAGGCCAUUGAACUUUGUCUUGCCCCUGAGCUUAACCAAGCACUAAAACACAGAACAUCUCUCCUCAGUGAUCCUUCCCCGUUCAAAUUGUCUGUUCACACCACCUGCUCAUCCCACUCCCACACAGCCACUCCUCUCUAGGAUUCUCUAUGCCUCCGUAUAAAAAGAGAAACCCUUGGCCAGGCACAGUGGCUCACGCUUGUAAUCCCAACACUUUGGGAGGCCCAGGUGGGUGGAUCACCUGAGGUCAAGAGUUCGAGAGCAGCCUGGCCAACAAGGCGAAACCCUGUCUCUACUAAAAAUACAAAAAAAAAAAAAAA
Molecule: long non-coding RNA, 1714 nt
Organism: Macaca mulatta (Rhesus monkey)
Lineage: Eukaryota; Metazoa; Chordata; Mammalia; Primates; Cercopithecidae
Source: Ensembl